UACACACAUCUGGACAGGACAGUAAUUAUUCUUGUUAUAUAAAUGACGUGAGUGUAAGUCAUUAAUUGUCCGUUGGAAGGUAGAACAUUCAAUCACAAGAAAAGGCGCACGUUUUAAUUAUAUAGAAAAGAUAAUCAAUUAGGAAGAAUGCUCGUCAAAAACAUGCAAGUCUGUUUUAUAACAGUUGUACUGUUAACGAUGGGAGCUGGCGUUGCAGCCGGCACCUGCAAAUGUGUAGCAAUGUGGCACAAUUGUUUCUUGUCAUGUGGCGACGCAAGUCAAAGGAUCGUUUGCUCUGAUUGUUUUUAUGGUAGAAGUUUAUGCUUCGACAAGUGCUUUAGAAGACAACAAAACUCCAUGAGUUCAUUUGAUGACGGUAAUGAAGACAAUUUAGUCCAUGUAAAAUAAACUCAUAUCUGACAUGUAAUUAAUGAUAAUCAAACUACGAUGAUAACUUAAGAAAUAGAACUAUAUGAUGAUAAUAAAUAAUGUUUGAAAAUUGUAAAACUGACGUUUAGAAAUAAAGGCGACCAAAUCGAUUGUGUAAAAGCAA
Molecule: long non-coding RNA, 553 nt
Organism: Xenia sp. Carnegie-2017
Lineage: Eukaryota; Metazoa; Cnidaria; Anthozoa; Malacalcyonacea; Xeniidae
Exons: 2
Source: RefSeq, a predicted model, not a curated record